UGAUGCAAAGAAGAAACAAACGGAUAAGCAUAUGAACCAAUCAUGCAUGAUAUUUCAUGACUAGAAACUGCAACAAAUCAAAUGGCAGCCAAGUUCAAAUGCUGCCGAAACCUUCAACAGCAAUCUCGUUUCAGUUCAGUAUUUCUAGGCUUGACUCCAAUUUCCUCGUUGCACAUUCUCUAGUGUAGGCACAUCGCAGGCUGUGGCUGGUUAUUUUAUAGGUUUAAGUAAGAAAGACCAGAACAAAUAAAAUGAUGAACAAAACUAUCAAAAAUAAAAUCAUCAUGAUCUGCCCCUUCGCACUGGCUUUCUUCAUGACCAUAGCCACUUUUUUCUGAACAAAAUCGAGACGAUUUGAUGUACUGUCCAUUUCCAUACCCAAAUCAUCUAUAAUCUUUUCCUGUGCAAGGAGUUCUUCAUGUAUAGUAAGCCCAACACCUCCAAUACGCUCCACACUUGCACUAAGCUCAUCCAACUCCUCAUCCUGUUGCUUUAUAAGAAGCAUUUGUCGAUCUGAUUCUGAUUGUAUGAAAUCAUCAUUAUCUUGAGUAUACAGGUUGGAUUUAUCUGUCUGGUGAGAAUUUUGCAGCCUCAUUAACUCUCUGCGCAUCCCAUUUACGCUGGUAGUUCCAUUACUGUUCACCUCUUUUCCAGCUACAACUGCUUUCUUCACAUUGCCCACCUGAACACGAGCAGUGCUAGUCCAUCUCUUUCGUUUUUCGAGCUCCACCUCAUCAAUCCCAUACCAAGAAGGAUCUCUAGCUGCUACAGAAAUUGUUUUGUCUAGCUCAUCCACCUGCCAUGCAAUGCUCUCACAACCAGUAACUAGCUCAUUUGCCAGAUGCAUUUGGUCUUCAGGAUCAGAAGAAGCCCGUUCCCAUUGGUGAAAAGUAGAUAGCAGCUUAUCAAUAGAUUCUUGAAUUUCCUCCUUCACUAUAUAAAAUGGAUCUUGAGCUGAAGACAUCGCGUGUCAGUAACUAUAGCUUAUCCA
Molecule: unclassified non-coding RNA, 991 nt
Filed under: Hevea brasiliensis (rubber tree)
Lineage: Eukaryota; Viridiplantae; Streptophyta; Magnoliopsida; Malpighiales; Euphorbiaceae
Source: RNAcentral